UACGGGAGGCAGCAGUGGGGAAUAUUGCACAAUGGGCGCAAGCCUGAUGCAGCCAUGCCGCGUGUAUGAAGAAGGCCUUCGGGUUGUAAAGUACUUUCAGCGGGGAGGAAGGGAGUAAAGUUAAUACCUUUGCUCAUUGACGUUACCCGCAGAAGAAGCACCGGCUAACUCCGUGCCAGCAGCCGCGGUAAUACGGAGGGUGCAAGCGUUAAUCGGAAUUACUGGGCGUAAAGCGCACGCAGGCGGUUUUGUUAAGUCAGAUGUGAAAUCCCCGGGCUCAACCUGGGAACUGCAUCUGAUACUGGCAAGCUUGAGUCUCGUAGAGGGGGUAGAAUUCCAGGUGUAGCGGUGAAUGCGUAGAGAUCUGGAGGAAUACCGGUGGCGAAGGCGGGCCCCUGGACGAGACUGACGCUCAGGUGCGAAAGCGUGGGGAGCGAAACAGGAUUAGGAUAACC
RNAcentral lists this ribosomal RNA (455 nucleotides) under uncultured bacterium. Its description in RNAcentral is "bacterial SSU rRNA". It matches the Rfam family "Bacterial small subunit ribosomal RNA", at positions 340 to 787 of the family's 1533-position model. The record is from RNAcentral.